ACAGCUGAAAAAUGUAAUAACACUUUUAGAUUUGAACAAAAUUGCAGUGAAUUCCAUCUAAUACAAUAACUGUUUAGGCAUCAUGGUAUGCCAGAGACUGAAGCGAUUCUUGCCUGUUUACUUGCUUUUGCCUGGCUCUGGCGAUUAGCGAGUACUGCCUAUGCCGCAUAUUCCAUCUCUAAUACUUUAGGACCUGAUUGCCUGGGGGUGGGAUUCAAGUACAUCAUUGCAGUCUUACAGAUUGUAAUCAGCUUAGUUUUGAAUGUGAUACCCUUAACAAAAUUUCCUCGGAUCAGUCUGGCGAAUCGUAUAAUAAGUCUACCAUCACAAGCCUUCACUUUGUACUACGCGAAUGCGUAUAUAGCACCCUUUAUAGAUAGCAAACGGGUGACGAUAUUAAUAUAUGUGAUUACAUGUAUGUGUCUUAUGGAAACUGUAUAUAAAAUCUACGUGGACUGGUCAAGAAUUGAGUAGAACUCCAAGAAAUUUUUGAAUUACCUUGGAAUUGCCAGCGAGGCCACACCCCCAAUUUGAUGGAUUUUAGUUAUAAUAUAUAGAAAAUACCAUUUUUAAUAUUCAGUUAUUACACCCUAAAUAAACUUAUUUUAACUAA
Pieris brassicae (large cabbage white) is the source of this 613-nucleotide long non-coding RNA. RefSeq lists it as uncharacterized. Lineage: Eukaryota; Metazoa; Arthropoda; Insecta; Lepidoptera; Pieridae. The record is from RefSeq and is a predicted model, not a curated record. The transcript has 2 exons.